UCAGUUAUUAUAUACGGUAAAAGAGCAAUGCAAAUUAAUAUUAAAUAGUUGAAUUGUAAUAAAAAAAUCUAUAAAACGCCAACGAUUACAAACAUAAACAGGUCCAAAAUCAAUACUAAAGGAAUAAAGUUUGAAAAAAAAAAGAUUAAAAGAAAAUUUUAAACUCUAUUUGAAAACUCGAACUCCCCAAUUUAGUUUACAUAAACAAAACCGCCGCCUUCUUAAAAUAAAUUGGCCUUUUCCAGCGACCUCAAGAAGAGAUUUCUUCACCAUUAAAGUUAAAACUUUAUACACAAAGAAAAAAUACAAGACAGAAGACAAACCAAAAUAUCAGAGUCAAAGAGAAUGGAGAAGAGAAGAGAAAGCACAUGCAACUCGAUUAGGAGGAGAUAGAAGAGUCAGACACUUAGGAAGGGAAAAACUUUCUUCCUCAAUCGUGUCAAGCCAUCAUCUCCAGAAUCGAGAGCCUCUUCCAGGUCGACGAUCCAUCAAAAUAUCAUUAUGAAGUCAAAUAUGGGAGCUCAAUCUACAAGAAAUAAAGUAGAAAAAAAUAAAAAAAAAAAUCAAUAACCAUGGCAAGCCAAAAAGAUCUCUCACUCAACAAAAGCAUCGGUUGCUAGAACCACAAAAUCAAUAAAGGUAUGUACAAACUCACCUAGAGGAGAGGGAGGACACUCACGUCUAGACAAGGAAGGGGAGAGCCACCUCUGCUCGAAAAGAAUAGAGAUAGCUGCGCAAAACCAGUAAAGGAUGAGGAUUGAGUAUAAAAAAAAACUCUUUAACAAUGAUAGAAAACUCUCUCUAUCAACCAGAGAAAGAAGCUACAUUUUUUUAGUUGAGUUUUCAAACUCACAUGAAACUUUUAUUUUAUUUAUAA
This 877-nucleotide long non-coding RNA is filed under the name Manihot esculenta (cassava). RNAcentral's name for it is "long non-coding RNA (MESC_LNC003048)". The record is from RNAcentral. Lineage: Eukaryota; Viridiplantae; Streptophyta; Magnoliopsida; Malpighiales; Euphorbiaceae.